AUUGAACGCUGGCGGCAGGCCUAACACAUGCAAGUCGAGCGAGCGGCGGACGGGUGAGUAAUGUAUGGGGAUCUGCCUGAUGGAGGGGGAUAACUACUGGAAACGGUAGCUAAUACCGCAUACCAUCGGAUGAACCCAUAUGGGAUUAGCUAGUAGGUGGGGUAACGGCUCACCUAGGCGACGAUCCCUAGCUGGUCUGAGAGGAUGAUCAGCCACACUGGGACUGAGACACGGCCCAGACUCCUACGGGAGGCAGCAGUGGGGAAUAUUGCACAAUGGGCGCAAGCCUGAUGCAGCCAUGCCGCGUGUAUGAAGAAGGCCUUCGGGUUGUAAAGUACUUUCAGUAGGGAGGCGUUAACGACAGAAGAAGCACCGGCUAACUCCGUGCCAGCAGCCGCGGUAAUUC
Molecule: ribosomal RNA, 406 nt
Filed under: uncultured bacterium
Lineage: Bacteria
Description: partial 16S ribosomal RNA
Rfam family: Bacterial small subunit ribosomal RNA
Source: RNAcentral